AAAACCUUACAAUGGCUUCUCUAUUCGUUUUUUAUAUCCCUCUGUGUGAAAAAAAACCAAUAAAAAUAAAAUAAAACUAGAGAAAAACCCCUUUGUCUCUCUGCUAUGUUUUUUGUUUUGUUUGCAGGUGUGGCGUACAGGUGGUGGAUGUGGCGUGUACGGAGGCCAGCUGGAGGCGCGUGGAGCGCUUGACACACGCGGAGGUCUUGGCUGCUGCGGCACUGGGAACUGGGUACUGCUAGGGUUUCGGUGGAUUUUGGGCCUGGGAUAAGUUAGGUUUGGGCCAGUAAUUGGUUAUUGGGGUAGAUUUUGUAAUUUGGGUUGCUAGGGUGUAUUGGGUUAGUGAUUUGGGCCCAAAUUUUGUAAUCUGGACUGUUAUUAGACCAUUUAAUUUUAAAUUUUUAUUUAGUUUAUUUUACUAACGGGCCGGGCAAAUUAGGUAUUACACUUAUUUUAUCUCAUACUGUGAACUACUUGUUAAAAUGUUGUUUAAGUUUAGUUUAACAUUAAUUGACUAGUUUGCUUAUUUGUUUGUGUAUCUGUGAAUAUGUUUGACUAUUUGUCUGUUUUUUUUUUGUGAACACAUUCAUUUAGUGCAUGCGAACAGGAUUAAUUAGUGUUUCACGAACAUGUUUUUUUACUGCUUGUGUGAUAGGCCCAAUUUGCCCGGCCCAUAAUAUAAAAAUCCAAUCCAAAUUGAAAAAAAGUAAUAAAAAAAUAAACCAAACAAAAGGUUAAUAACAGUCCACAGUCCAAAUACAAUGGCCCAACGUGGCCCAAAUCAGUUAACCUAGCCCAAGCUUAUACCUAACUACACCUGGCCCAAUCACUAGGUGGCCCGAAAACUAAAAGAAACCCUAGCAUCAGCCCUCCUUCCAGAGCCGCAGUCGAACCCAAGGCUUCCCCCCCGCGUGCUGCGCCUUUACGCGCGUGCAUCUCCUCUGCACACGCUUUCGGCCUACCCCUGCACACGUGACAGGCCUCCAUACACUUGCGCCUCUACCUCCGUACCUCCAUGUCGACCUCUGCCCUCGUACACCUGCAAAUGGGACUCAAACAACGCAACAAAAAAGCAAAAAACUGUAUUUUUUCAUAUUUCAUUUUUGUUCACUUUUUCGGCCUAUAAAGGAAAAGGCCGGAACCAUUUUGUAGAAGGGUUUUUCUUAGAGGCAAAAAUACAAAAAAAAAACAACGAAAGCAAUCAAAAAGAAAGUUUACUAAAGGUGACUCCUUUUUCUUUUUACUCUUUUCGACUUCUUCGUGUUUUAUAAAACAAAAGAAGGGGAGGAAGGCUUACCUGGGUGUUAGUGUCGACUGAAACCUCGCUCACUCCGCCUCAGUAGGAGUUUAGACGAGGGCUGUGAGGCCAGAAAUCGGCGGAGCCUUCGGUGUUGUGAAACUAGGAUUGAAACCCUAGCGCAGACGUGAGGAGGCGGCGGCCUUCUUUUUUAUUUUUUUUUCUUUCUUUGUUAAGCAACUGAGUUAUUUUUUUAGAGGGUUUAAAUAGUGAAAUCGCACGGCAUCGUUUUGAGCUAGGGUUAACAGCCCUCAAAACGGUGCCGUUUAAUCUUAACUCGAUGACCCAACCCGGAGGCGGCUGAGAUCCGC
RNAcentral lists this long non-coding RNA (1608 nucleotides) under Gossypium barbadense (sea-island cotton). RNAcentral describes it as "long non-coding RNA (GBAR_LNC017019)". Lineage: Eukaryota; Viridiplantae; Streptophyta; Magnoliopsida; Malvales; Malvaceae. The record is from RNAcentral.